UAUCAAAGUAAAACGUUCCUG
RNAcentral lists this non-coding RNA (21 nucleotides) under Caenorhabditis elegans. The record is from RNAcentral. Lineage: Eukaryota; Metazoa; Nematoda; Chromadorea; Rhabditida; Rhabditidae.